Long non-coding RNA from Haliotis rubra (blacklip abalone), 342 nucleotides. RefSeq lists it as uncharacterized. The record is from RefSeq and is a predicted model, not a curated record. Lineage: Eukaryota; Metazoa; Mollusca; Gastropoda; Lepetellida; Haliotidae. The transcript is spliced from 3 exons.
UAUUUAAAGUCAAGGUUGAGACCAGGAACAUCACUUCCAUCCUUGCUGCAGAUUGUGUUGAGACAUUUCACUAACGAACAUGAAGCUGUUUCUCCUGUUGGUUCUUGUCACUCUGUUGACUGCAGAAUGUAUCACUGCUCAAUGGCGGGAAUUCACCAAUCGCGACGGAAUACAGCUACGGAUGAAGAAAUUAGCAUCAGAUUAUCAGCGUCGGUCUGGUUCAGCAGGCGGUCUGAGAAGGCCAGGUGGAUCAAGUUCUGGUGCUGAUUGAUGCGAGAAACACCUGAUACGAUUCUGAUAUGCAGCAAAACAAAAUGAGCAAUAAAUCAUUUUUGUUCUCUA